Molecule: long non-coding RNA, 279 nt
Organism: Ixodes scapularis (black-legged tick)
Lineage: Eukaryota; Metazoa; Arthropoda; Arachnida; Ixodida; Ixodidae
Exons: 3
Source: RefSeq, a predicted model, not a curated record
CUUAUGUAGUAUUGGUCUUGUCUUUGUAACUUUGUGGGUAUAAGGCAAGCUGUAUUAAAUUUAUUGCAGGUUCCAGUUGCACCAAGCAGGUGCACUCACCCUCAGGAUGCAAGCCACUCUCUUCAAGUCGCAUGGGGUGCUUUAUGAGGUCCCAGCUGCACCAAACAGGUGCAUGCACCAUUACAGAUUGCAAGCCGUUCUCUUUAAGCCACAUGGAAUGUUCCAUGAGGUCCCAGCAACAAAAAUUGCAAGCCGCUCUCUUCAAGCCGCGUGGAGUGC